This 255-nucleotide ribosomal RNA is filed under the name uncultured bacterium. RNAcentral describes it as "partial 16S ribosomal RNA". It matches the Rfam family "Bacterial small subunit ribosomal RNA", at positions 524 to 776 of the family's 1533-position model. The record is from RNAcentral.
UACGUAGGGUCCGAGCGUUGUCCGGAAUUACUGGGCGUAAAGAGCUCGUAGGUGGUUUGUCGCGUUGUUCGUGAAAACUCACAGCUUAACUGUGGGUGUGCGGGCGAUACGGGCAGACUUGAGUACUGCAGGGGAGACUGGAAUUCCUGGUGUAGCGGUGGAAUGCGCAGAUAUCAGGAGGAACACCGGUGGCGAAGGCGGGUCUCUGGGCAGUAACUGACGCUGAGGAGCGAAAAGCGUGGGGGAGCGAACAGG